Felis catus (domestic cat) is the source of this 1562-nucleotide long non-coding RNA. RefSeq lists it as uncharacterized. Lineage: Eukaryota; Metazoa; Chordata; Mammalia; Carnivora; Felidae. The record is from RefSeq and is a predicted model, not a curated record. The transcript is spliced from 2 exons.
ACCUGGGGUCAUGGCAAGAGCAGGGGACCCAUGCUGGUCAGUUCACUGACCCUGCUUCCCCCAAUCCUUCCAUCUCCCCACCUGUCCCCUUAGGACUGACCUUCAGGGUAACACAGUUGUCUGGGAGCUGCUGUUCUAUAUAAACCUCCAUGAUGAGGUCUCCAGCCUGGGACAGCUGAGGGGACGGGUACAGUAUUUAGGAGGACACAAGAGAAUCCAAAAUAUCAAGAACUGAAGUACUCGCCACCAUUGUGUAAUGAAGAAUCCUCAUGGUGGAAUAAGUGGAGUAAAUCCUAAACCAAACCCCUCUCCCCAAAGCACUCCCCUCCUUGGUUUCCCCCUUUCUCUGAAAGCUGACGGCCAAUGUCCAGCAGCAGAAGGCCACCCUCCUGUCUUGAUAUCCCCUCCUGGCCCACUCAGGAGUCUAAGGUCAGGACAAGUUACCUGUACAUCCUUCCAGGUGGUGAUAAGACUGACUUCCAAGUCAAUCUGAGCUACCUGGUCAGAGUCAAUCUGUGGAAGAGUCAAAAAGAAGUGUGUAUUGUGGAGGUGGGGGUAGUGCUAGGAAAUGAGGGAAGAAGGGAGAGAUGUACAAGACUAGAGGGUCUAUAUGAGAGCAUUAGAGGCCAGAAGAGCUAAGAACUAAUGGGGCAUGGGCAUUUGGAGUGACUUUAUGGGAUAGAGGGGCCCAGGGCUCUGGAAGGUGAUUCCCGAUGCAGAGGGCUUUCAGAGGUCUGGGCUGGGGUCCUGUUGGGGAGAGCAAGAUCUAGAAUCCAGGAAGAGGGACUAUAGUCAGGGGUUGAGAGAGCUUACAUUAAAGACAGAGAUGUAGCCAUCGAUGAGUUCCUGCAGCACCCGCACCUCAUGUUCCCCCCGCCCAUCUGUCUGGAACACACUAGGUGCAAACAGCAGGGCCAGGUUCCGCGUGCACAUUUGGUUUAUAGCAGCACACUUUUGUACCCUGCAGAAGGGCGUGACACAGGUCACAAGGGAUGCAUCUUGUGCUCACCUGUUGGUCAAUGCAUCCAUUCAUUCAGCAAAUACUUAUUGAGUUCCUACAGUAUGCCAGGCCCUGGGCUAAGCAUUUGGGAUACAGCUGUAAGACACAAUACUGGCCUCAAGGAGCUCCCAGUCUAGGGGAGAGACAGAUAACGAAUGGGUGAUUAUAAAUAUUGUAAGAGGCAGCACACUUUUAUGUAAAGGGACAGACAGUAAAUAUUUUAGGCUUGCAGGCCAUACGUUCCCUGUUGCAAUUCCUCAGUUCUACUGUUGUAGUAUGAGAAGAGUUAUAGACAAUAUAAAAGUGAAUGGGUGUGGCUUUACACUUCAUGGACAAAACUUCAUCUAGAAAUACAGGCAACAGGUUGGAUUCGGCCCAUGGGCCAUAGUUGGCCCAUCCCUGUGAUAUAAUCAGUACAAUACAGCCAGUGUUCACCUUAGAAUCGUUUAAAGUCCCGUCUCCCCAAGAGACUGGUCAAGAUAGAUCUGCAACUUACUCUUCUUUGUGUCUCCUACAUCUAACCCUUUGUGUGUCAUAGAAUAAUAAAGCAAAAUAAUAUUGA